Molecule: unclassified non-coding RNA, 2518 nt
Filed under: Polistes fuscatus (common paper wasp)
Lineage: Eukaryota; Metazoa; Arthropoda; Insecta; Hymenoptera; Vespidae
Description: atlastin, transcript variant X3
Source: RNAcentral
CUCACCGGGAUAUUUCUGGUCUUUAUUCGCGCGACUUGUUAGUGCGCGAUCGUACGUGCACCGUUCGUGCGCCGUUCGUGCACCACCUUUUUCUAAUCGCGAUUUUUGUUCUCCUCCUUCACCGAAUGUAAACCCGGAAGAAAUAUGAGCGAGAAGAAACACGUUCCGCCGAGCCGGAAACGACCCGACGACAUUUCGAGAUUGAGAUCGAGGGAACCAAAGAGACCACCCAGAACAAAAGUCAAUCAGUCUCCUGUCUCCGAUCUAGGAUACUCUUCGUCUUCGCGUCUUCCAAUUGUCGCAAAAGAUAGAAAGGAACAUGAGGAAACGAACAAAACUCGAACUCGAGUCAACGAUAGGCGGCCUAUCUCGGAACUUGACUCUAUUAAAGGCGGAAAAACUUCGAUGACGACUCUCGAUGAGAACGUGAAUCCUGUACCACGGGAGUUCCAGACAAUGGAUAAAAUUGAUUACUUGGGAAAGAGAGAACGCAUAGAGACAGUAUCUAUGAACAAUCAAAAUGAAGAUACAACAGAUUUUGGAUAUCCGGUACAAGUGGUACUUGCACAGCCUGACCAUACAUUUGAGUUAGACGAAGAGGCGUUGUCCAAAAUUCUACUUCAUGAUAAUAUAAAAGAUAGAAGUGUCGUCGUCGUGUCCGUGGCAGGUGCAUUCAGGAAAGGCAAAAGUUUUCUACUCGACUUUUUUCUUCGUUAUAUGAACGAUAAGUACAGUAAGGGAAAAAGUUCUGAUUCUUGGUUGGGUAAAGACGAUGAGCCUCUAAAAGGAUUCUCGUGGAGAGGAGGAUCUGAAAGAGAUACUACAGGAAUAUUAAUGUGGUCGCAAGUUUUUCCUGCUACUUUACCCAGUGGAGAAAGAGUUGCUAUAAUACUAAUGGAUACGCAAGGUGCUUUUGAUAGUCAGUCAACUGUCAGAGAUUGUGCUACAGUCUUCGCGUUAAGUACGAUGUUGUCUUCUGUACAAAUUUACAAUUUGUCACAGAAUAUCCAAGAAGAUCAUCUUCAACAUUUACAACUUUUCACCGAAUAUGGUAGACUAGCUUUGGAAAAAUCAGGAAGUACACCCUUUCAAAGUUUGCAGUUCCUAGUAAGAGAUUGGUGUUACCCAUAUGAAGCUGAUUAUGGCGCAGAAGGAGGACAGAAAGUAUUGCAAAGAAGAUUAGAAAUAUCUAAUAAGCAACAUCCAGAAUUACAAAGCUUAAGAAAGCACAUUAAGUCUUGCUUUUCGGAUAUAUCUUGCUUUCUUAUGCCUCAUCCAGGUUUAAAAAUCGCUACAAAUCCCAAAUUUGAUGGUAGACUAUCAGAAAUUGAAUCAGAGUUCAAAGAACAAUUAAAAGUUCUUAUUCCAAUGAUACUAGCACCAGAAAAUUUGGUCACCAAAAAGAUUGAUGGCCAAGUUGUAAAAGCCAGAGAUCUGCUUGAAUAUUUCAAGAGUUAUAUCAAAAUUUAUAAAGGGGAUGAAUUACCGGAACCAAAAAGUAUGCUUGUUGCUACAGCCGAAGCUAAUAAUCUGUCAGCCGUAGCUGAGGCAAAAGAUGUAUAUUUACAGUCGAUGGAAAAUGUUUGUGGAGGAAUUAAACCAUUUUUGGCUACUGCUCUCUUAGAUGCAGAACAUCAGCGGUGCAUGGACAGUGCUAUACGUCACUUCCAAAAUAAACGAAAGAUGGGUGGAGAUGAAUUUAGUCAAAUGUAUAUGGAAAAAUUAAUUAAGGAUAUGGAUGAAGCUUAUCUUCAGUUCAAAGCGCACAAUGAAAGUAAAAACAUUUUCAAAGCAGCACGAACUCCAGCAGUGUUCCUCGUGAUAGCAGUCACUAUGUAUAUUUUAUCUGGUAUAUUUGGACUGGUUGGUUUAUACGGUAUAGCGAAUACAUGCAACAUAAUUUUGGGCAUUGGAUUACUUACAUUCGUUUUUUGGGCAUAUGUAAAGUACAGCGGAGAAUUACACGAAAUGGGUACGCGAAUAGAUGAACUAGCAAAUGCUAUAUGGGAAAACGCCUGGCUAUGCGCUCAUCUUACUUAUAAAAUAAGAUAUCUGAUCCUUCCUAUUAUUAUAACUUUGAUUGCAAUACCUACUUAUAAAUUUAUACAUGCCUAUCUUUAUAAACAUCGCUAUAUCUGAUCCCACGCUUCAUUUCUUUUUUAUAUAUUCAUCAUUUAUCUUUUAUUCAAGUUAAGUUUGCAUAAAUAAAUUUUACCAAUCAUUAAUUAUUAUUGCUUGUGCUUUAGUUUUAAUUUCAUUAUCAAUUUUCUUGUUUGUUUUUCAACGUAUAUUCGUUUGCAAAAACUCUCUUAGCUUAAUUAUAAGUUUUGGUUUAUUUUCUCCUAUAAUAUUCCUUUAAAUUGAGUGCUAACAGGAUGACACUUUUGAAAGUUCAUGAAAGUACUUUAUCAACAAAUUGUGAAGAAGUCAAUUUCUGUAGCAGUGGUGGCGCAGGCCGCUGAAUUGGCAACAAACACGACAAUGAACGCCACUAACACUGCCAAUGGCAAACCAAAAA